Molecule: long non-coding RNA, 918 nt
Filed under: Marmota monax (woodchuck)
Lineage: Eukaryota; Metazoa; Chordata; Mammalia; Rodentia; Sciuridae
Source: RNAcentral
AUUGCUACCACAUAGAUCACUGAACUAAGAUUGUAUAUUCCCAGAAGAAUGAGAAAGUUGGCUCCUCGAGAAUAAAUCAAUGCUAUAGAACAAUCAAAGUUGGGUCACUUAAACAGAGAAAAUGAGGUAAAUUGAGUAGUUUUUUUUUCUGACUAUUAGUUAACAAAUAACAGUCAAAAAGAAAAAAAUCACCCAGUGAGUCAGGGAGUCAAAUUCAUGUGUCUCCCACAUGUAAUCUAUUCCAUAAGUGGAGCAGUGCCCAGAUAGGUAAAGAAUUACUGCAUGAAGGACCAGUGUGUUCCUAGUGAUUUGCAAGUGUUUGUUUGAUUGUUAUCAUUUCUAUGUACAUAUUUAAAACAACAAGAGUGACAACCAAGUAUUUUGUUGGGCUUAGGAGAAAAUAUAGACAGAGAAAAGAAUUUUAAAUUUGUUAAAGAAAAUAAAGGCAGUACAUUAUACACACUCAAAAUAUAUGAAUUUUUUACAUGCUGUCUUUGGAGAAUUUUUAAUAGACACUUAAUUCAAACAAAUUCAGUUACAGACCCAUGUAUCUCCAGAAGCUCUAAACUAGAGAUAAGAUAGGCAGCUACUAUAGCCUAAAAUUCCUUCAAAUCCCUGCACUAAUUGGCUUUGUAUCAUCAAUCAAUGUAAAUAGGUGUGCAGAACAUUGGAUGCUACUCUUGUUCAGAAGGAGUAAUGUCAACCAAAGUCUCCAACUGGAGCCUUCCUUAGAAUGCUGCAGAGUGAGAACACCACAGGAUGACUGUGAUAUAGGGAGCAAAUAAUGUCAGGAUAGAUGGGCAGAUGACAUUCAAAAUAUAGUUCCAUUUUAUUUCCAGAAAUUUUUAUGAAACAAAUUCUCAGGAAGUAUUGGAAAAACAAUACCUUGAAUAAUCAUAAGAGGAGACUCAGGAAGAG